RNAcentral lists this ribosomal RNA (253 nucleotides) under uncultured bacterium. RNAcentral's name for it is "partial 16S ribosomal RNA". It matches the Rfam family "Bacterial small subunit ribosomal RNA", at positions 524 to 776 of the family's 1533-position model. The record is from RNAcentral.
UACGUAGGGGGCAAGCGUUGUCCGGAAUUAUUGGGCGUAAAGCGCGUGUAGGCGGCCCGAUAAGUCCGCUGUGAAAGUCCAGGGCUCAACCCUGGGAUGCCGGUGGAUACUGUCGGGCUCGAGUCCGGAAGAGGAGUGUGGAAUUCCUGGUGUAGCGGUGAAAUGCGCAGAUAUCAGGAAGAACACCCGUGGCGAAGGCGGCUCUCUGGGACGGUACUGACGCUGAGACGCGAAAGCGUGGGGAGCGAACAGG